This 49-nucleotide ribosomal RNA is filed under the name Rhizoctonia solani. RNAcentral describes it as "partial 18S ribosomal RNA". The stretch from base 1 to 41 matches the Rfam family "Eukaryotic small subunit ribosomal RNA", at positions 1791 to 1831 of the family's 1831-position model. The record is from RNAcentral. Lineage: Eukaryota; Fungi; Basidiomycota; Agaricomycetes; Cantharellales; Ceratobasidiaceae.
GUAACAAGGUUUCCGUAGGUGAACCUGCGGAAGGAUCAUUAUUGAAUUU